AAUCUUCCGCAAUGGACGAAAGUCUGACGGAGCAACGCCGCGUGAGUGAUGAAGGUUUUCGGAUCGUAAAACUCUGUUGUUAGGGAAGAACAAGUAUCGUUCGAAUAGGGCGGUACCUUGACGGUACCUAACCAGAAAGCCACGGCUAACUACGUGCCAGCAGCCGCGGUAAUACGUAGGUGGCAAGCGUUAGCCGGAAUUAUUGGGCGUAAAGGCCGGGCAGGGGGGUUCUUAAGUCUGGUUGGAAAGCCCACGGCUCAACCGGGGAGGGUCAUUGGAAACUGGGAAGCUUGAGUGCAGAAAGGGAGAGUGGAAUUCCAUGUGUAGCGGUGAAAUGCGUAGAGAUAUGGAGGAACCCCAGUGGCGAAGGCGACUCUCUGGUCUGCAAAUGACGCUGAGGCGCGAAAGCGUGGGGAGCGAACA
This 423-nucleotide ribosomal RNA is filed under the name uncultured bacterium. RNAcentral's name for it is "partial 16S ribosomal RNA". It matches the Rfam family "Bacterial small subunit ribosomal RNA", at positions 360 to 774 of the family's 1533-position model. The record is from RNAcentral.